Molecule: RNA transcript, 3215 nt
Organism: Rhododendron vialii
Lineage: Eukaryota; Viridiplantae; Streptophyta; Magnoliopsida; Ericales; Ericaceae
Gene name: pentatricopeptide repeat-containing protein At1g08070, chloroplastic-like
Exons: 4
Source: RefSeq, a predicted model, not a curated record
ACUAGUUGUAAGGGUGGGUUUCUCCCUCCUUCCCAUACUCUUUCUCUGUGGAAUGUGUCCAUUAACAUCUUAUCCCUUUCAAUCAAACCCAGAAACAGCAUGAGCUUCUCCUUCGCAUCUUCUCCUUACUCUUGUUCGAAAGUCUCAAAUGCCUCUCAUCUUCUUGAUCCCCAAGAGUUCUCAAUCGUCAAUAGGCUCAAUUCCUGCAAAGCCACACGAGAACUAAAACAAAUCCACUCCUACAUCAUCAAAACAAGCCCAACUCUUCAACCCCAACUCCUCUGUCCAAAAUUGCUCUCUUUAUGCGCCAAAUUUCCUGACAUAGACCUCAGCUAUCUUUAUUCCGUUUUCACCCAAAUUUCCAAUCCAGGUGUUAGUUUGUACAAUGCUAUUAUCCGGUGCUUUUCGGGUUGCAAGAACAAGAACGGCUCUUUGCUUGCGUUAUCUUUUUAUAGCGAAUUGCUGGCCAAGGGUUUGAUUCCUGACAAGUACACGUACCCUUUUCUUCUCAAGGCUUGCGCCGAAUCCCGUGCGUUGAGGGAAGGUCAGGAGGUUCAUGCCCGUGUAGUUAAGAAUGGGUUUGCGUUGGAUUUGUAUGUGGUCAACACAUUGAUUAGAUUAUACGCUGUUUGUGGGGCUAUUGAGUCAGCGCAAAAGAUGUUCGAUGAAGGUCCUCAUAGGGAUUUGGUUUCGUGGACUACAUUGAUUCAGGGUUAUGUUAAGAUGGGGUUUUGGAAGGAAGGCAUACUGUUGUUUUUUGAUAUGUGUGAUGCAAAUUUUCAGGUUGAUGAACUGACAGCGGUGAUUGUCCUUUCUGCGUGUGCUAAGUUGGGAGAUUUGACUUUGGGUAGGAGGAUACACCUGUAUAUGUGCGACCAGAAGGUGAAUUUUGAUGUCUUUGUUGGGAAUGCAUUAAUCGAUAUGUACUUAAAAUGUGGUGAUGCUGAUUUUGCUUGUAAAAUUUUUAAUGAGAUGCCAGUGAAGAAUGUGGUUUCUUGGAACUCCAUGGUAUCAGGAUUGGUGCAGAAAGGGGAAUUCAAAGAGGUCUUAAAUAUGUUUAGGAAGAUGCAGAGACGAGGUGUCAAGCCGGAUGAUUUCACUAUGGUUGGCGUGCUCAAUUCUUGUGCUAAUCUGGGCAUGCUUGAGCUGGGGAAAUGGGCUCAUGCCUACGUGGAUAGAAACCGCAUCAAAGCAGAUGGGUUUAUAGGGAAUGCAUUGGUGGAUAUGUACGCAAAGUGUGGAAGCAUAGAUGAAGCCUCGAAAGUAUUUAAUGGCAUGAAAUGCAGAGAUGUCUAUACAUACACGACCAUAAUUGUUGGGCUAGCAAUGCACGGACAAGGAGAGAGAGCAUUGGAUCUUUUCUCUCAGAUUCCUAAGAUGGGCAUAAAACCGAAUGGCGUGACAUAUUUAGGUGUCCUUAUGGCGUGCAGUCAUGCAGGACUUGUGGACGAAGGGCAUAAGCAUUUUUCAGAGAUGUCAAGAGUCUAUGAUCUUGAACCCCAAAUGCAGCACUAUGGUUGCAUGGUUGACCUAUUGGGUCGUGCGGGGUUGGUAAAUGAAGCACAAGAGUUUAUUAGUAAUAUGCCAAUUGAACCUGAUGCUUUUGUUUGGGGAGCGUUACUGGGAGCUUGUAGGAUCCAUGGGAAUGUUGAGCAUGGCGAGAUUGUUAUGGAAAAACUUGAGAAAUUAGAGCCCGAAAGAGAUGGGACCUACGUACUCAUGUCUAACAUAUAUUUCUCUGCAAAUAAGAGGAGAAAUGCGUUGAAGUUGAGAAAGGCAAUGAAAGAAAGGGAAAUAAGAAAGAUUCCUGGGUGUAGUUCUAUUGAACUGGCUGGGGUGGUUCAUGAGUUCCGAAGGGGUGACAAGUCACACCGGAAAACUAAGGAUAUAUAUAGUAUAUUGGACGAAUUGACUAGUCAUUUACAGAAUAGUGGCCAGUGGGUACAUACUGAUGAAUUAUAUUGAAGGAACUGAUUGGAGGAGCAAAAACUGAUAGCUUAACAAAGAGAUAAGGGCAUGAUGUAUUUCUGGUGGGUAUUCAGGAGUUGAUCUCUCCUUCCUUCCAAGUUCCAUCUGAUAUCAGAGUCAGCAUUAAGGACUAAGCAGAAGAAUCAUGGCUACUUAGAGAUGAGCAAGAGUUCUUGUAAAGUUUGACUAAGAAGAUUUGAAUAAGUGAGCGGCGUCAAACUCCCAUAUGAUGAUGUUUUGAGCUCGUGUUGCUAUGUACUGUACUGUUCUUUUUGCUGGACAUCCCCUUUUCCAGAAGCAAAUUAUAACUAGAAGUUUAUGGAACAAUGCGACAGCUACAUGUAAAACAACUACUUGCUAUGGAAGCAGCCAUUCCAGUGACAGGCAACAAGCAGUUGAUUUUCUUUUGCGGAUGGGCGAAUUUAAUGGUUACUUCAUCAUCAACAAUCCGGACAUUGAUCUCAAAGUCUUUGAACUUUCUCUGAAGCCAUGAGCUCCUCAAUCCAUUGUAGGAGGACUGGUCUUGAUGAUAGGGACCAUCACUUUCUGUCUUGUGCCUUUUGAUCCUCUCUAUGCUGCAUCUCUUCCUCUUCACCAGCAUUUUUAGCCCAUUGACAGUUCUGAGAAGCUCUUUGAUGUACCCAAUGGCAUCUCCCACCACUGAUGCUCUAUCAGCCUUUGGUGUACUCCAAACAGAAAUUGUUGAAAAUGAAAAACAAAAGAUAGCCAACUUCACAUUUUAGUAUGUAUAUGUGCAUCACCAAGUUCUGGAAUUCCUUAAAUGGGAAGUGACGUGUAACCAUGGAGAGGGAGAAAAGGAACUAAGAGCAUCGCUGGUUGAUGUUACAAUGGCGACGCCAAAGCCAAAAUUUGGCCUUGUACGUUGCCAAAGUACUAGCAUAAUUAAUCAAGAAUGUGACAAUCCAGCUCCAAUGGUGCAAAUAUCAUUUUUUUUUCUACAAUGAAGGCAAAACUGUUUAGAUAGGCUUUUAGAUCCCAUUAUGAGAGAGUGAUUAAGGUGAUGAGUUAUGCCAAAAGCUAGUAACUAACUAUGUUUGGUGCCAAAUUUGUCCUGAAGGUUUGCAAGGCCAUAAUUUGGCGACAUUGAACUUCAGUACAGAAUUUGAGUUUGUUUUUUGUUCUAUUCUGAGAAGUUCUUGCCAAAAUCCAAAUUCUAACUUUAACACUUGUUUUGGCUCACCGUUUGUAAGAUACUCAAAAGCAUGUGCAUUAGUAGCAGUUAGUGU